Long non-coding RNA from Equus quagga, 812 nucleotides. RefSeq lists it as uncharacterized. Lineage: Eukaryota; Metazoa; Chordata; Mammalia; Perissodactyla; Equidae. The record is from RefSeq and is a predicted model, not a curated record. The transcript has 3 exons.
GCCGCUCCAGGGCCCCGCUUGAGAAAUGUUUCGGUCCUAGAGAUUCCGCCCCAAUUUUAAACAUCUGUUGGUGAUUGUGGAAAAUACGGUUGGGAUUGUUUCGGUCACAGCCUGUGAAAGCUGCCGUUGUGCUGUGCUUUAAAGCCUCGGUGAUGGAUAUUUCACACUCUGACUCAAGUGGGCAGCGCCGGCCCUGACCCAUGUCAACAGGGUCCCACCUGCCGCUCAGCUUGCGGCUCCAGCUCUCCUUAGAGGUGGGUCCUGAGAACCCAGGAAGAUGUGAGUCUGGGAGCCCUCCAGCAGCUCAGUCCCCUUCCGUCCUGUCCUGAGAUCAAGCGAGGCCAGUCUGGAGUCCCAUUUCCUCAGGACAGUGGACACAGUGAAUCUGAGGGAAGUGGCAUUACAGGAACUGAAGGGAUGGGACCCUUUACUUCUGACAUCACACUCACAGUGAGGCUGAAGGAGGCAGUAAAGAGAGAGCAACAAGGCCGAGAGAGGAGCCUGUGCCUUGGCCUGGCUGCGUGGGACACAGCCUUCUCUGGGGCCUCUGUUUGCGCCCCUUGGUCCGGGGUGUGGGCCCUGCUCCCGGCUCCAGCACUGCUGGCCUGAGUCCUGGCUGCGGCUGAUGGACACGACAGCAGCCAGGGGUGGGAGCUCCUUUGGAUGGAUUAAAACAUGGACCUGUAACUUGAGUCACAUCUUUAGUUUGUAGCAAACUUCUGAAGUCAACCGCACUCCUGGGAGCGAGGCCUCUUUUCUGGUGCAGAAUCUGCCUUUGUGGAAAGAAAAAUAAAGCCAUUUUGUUUGUUUCA